This 509-nucleotide long non-coding RNA is filed under the name Phoenix dactylifera (date palm). RNAcentral's name for it is "long non-coding RNA (PDAC_LNC001266)". The record is from RNAcentral. Lineage: Eukaryota; Viridiplantae; Streptophyta; Magnoliopsida; Arecales; Arecaceae.
UUGAACAUUGUUUGAUUUUUAAUCUUGCUUAUGUUUGGAAAAUAUCCUUAAAAUGAUCUAUAUAUACUUAUUUUUAUGUUUCGAAAAUACCUUUAACAAUUUUAUCCUACACUGCAUGUACUAGAUUACUGUAUCACAAUGGCUUGGUUUUAUAUUUUCAUUUGUGGAGUGCACAUGCUAUGUCCUGCUGCAUGAAUGAUGCUGCAUGAAUGAAGAGCUACCAACGUAGUAGCCUGGUAGUAAGGGGGCGAUAAUUCUGUCUGAGUUGCCUGGGUUCGAAAUGUGCAGACGUCGAUUAAAUUAGGAGACCAGAUACCCCACGCCCGAUUGGCUCGUUGGUGGUUAUGCUUUUCUUCUACUUGUACCAAGAUGGUGCUGGAGUGACGUACCUACACGUGAAAGCGAUGAGCCCACAGGUCGGAGAAGGCACGCGAAACCUACGACCUGUAUCGAACACUUUUUAGUAGAAAGAGAGCUCAGUGGGGGUGGGCUGGUCCCUCCCCUCUCUC